CUUCUCCUUUUUCUCUUUUUCUGCGUUUUACUAUCAAACGAGUAAAAAUCCCAUUAAUGGAUUUGUCCUGUUGCUAAUUUGAAAACUCGAACCUCAUUGGCUGUUGGGAUUUAGGCGGGAUUCAAGAUGAAUCCUUUGAGAUUUUCACUUGUCCCACAUCGAAUUAGGGUUUGAUGUUUCUCAGAUUUGGGUUCUAUAAAUAGAACCCCAUAUCUCACUAUUUGAUAGCUCGCAAUAUCGAAAUACUCGAAGAUAGACUCGGUAUACCUAGGGAUCUAGCAAUCUUUGUUUGGAACCUUUAACUUACCGAGUUUUAAGUUUAAAAGUUUUCAUUCCUUUCUUGUCUUUGUGGCUGAGCACCGGAGGUGGAGGCAAAAGGCUUUCCCAGUCCAUUUUCGACCAAGGCUACGCAAAGAAGAGGUAAAUAUUCCCCUUUUAUUUAUUUUUUGCAUUAUUGUGUUUAAUAUGUGUGUUAGCUAGUUUUAGGUGUCUAUUUCAGUAUUGUGUUUAGUAUAUGCUUGUUGAUAUUUGUGUCUAGUUAAUUUAGUUUGAUUUGAAUUUUAGUUUAGUUUUCAGUAUGAUUUAGUCUAGUUAAUCUCCUAUAGUAUAAAUCAAUUUAAGUAGCCUUAUAGACUAAUCUGUGCAUGUGUAAAUAUAGCUUAUUAUUACAAAGCAUAUCUAAGUUUUUAUCCAUUCUUAUGAAGUCUUGGCUGAUUUAAAUAUGGCCUGAAUCUUAUUUGCUAUGCUCACAUUGACUCACCUAUGCGAUUAGAAGGGUACCUAUACUUGUUUAGACCAUAUUUGUGCAUAUAAUCACAUGUAAAAGACUUGUUAACCCAUCUUUGUAUUUAGCAUAUGUUCACUGUUGGAUUUGGGAUUGAUAUUGGCCUGCUUAAAACUAGAAUGUUUAUUUGGAUAUGAAUUCUUGUUGUUGUAAGUCUACCUAGAUCAAUCAUGCCUAUUCAGUAUUUGCCUUUGGAUGAUUUCAACCUAAUCUGUUUCGAUACAGGUCCUUAUGCUUAUUCAUUUUUGUUUCAACCAUAUGAUGACUUAUGUACUCUUUGUUAGUUUUUGCAUUCUAUGAUUAAGUAUGUUUGGACUGAUAUGGACCAUCUACAUUAGAAUAGUUGUCGGAAUGAGCAUGUAUGUCUUGUUUUGAGGUCUUUGAGUAUGUUGUUCAUUUCCAAAGAGAAUUUAGUUAAACAUAUAGGCGCUUUAACUCUUUGUUAAGGACACUGACUUCAUAUCUGGUGGAUGGUUUACUAGUCCCUUAGGGGGCUGUUAGUCAAGCUUAAUUUUUGUAUCAACUGAGUAUAUGCUAAGUCAAUCCUUUUGUGUUAUUUGUAUACUUAUUGGUCUUAUCUAGUUCCUGCAGUGUCUGACUCUACAUAUAGGGAUAUUUUGAUGGUUCACUAUUGUGGUUGGAGGUUUUCAUACUUAAUCAUGCUUUGAUUCAUGUGGUUAUGGAUCCGCUUAAUUCAUCUGAGCCUAUUAUGUACCGAUCUUAACUGAUUCCUGCCAGAUAUAAGUUGAAAUUUCAUGCUUUGGUACUUGUUUAGCCCAUUCCACUAUCACAUAUUCAUUUCAAAUGAUUUAGCACUGGAGUAACUCUGAUAUGAUUUUAAAAAAUGCCUUUUAGCUUUUGUGCCCAACCAGUUGAUUGAUUACAUGUCUAUUUGGCUUUCCUUGUUCUUGAAUGUGCAUACAUGCUGUUAGGAGGUAGUAAGGAUGUUAUAUAUGCUUGAAAGUUAUAUUUGUCUUCAAGAUCUUUUAUUAUCUGUCUGUAUACCCUAUUGGGAUGUCUACCUUGACUGUGCAUGUCCUUUACUCAUUCUUGAUUGAGGUGCACUUUGGUUUGAGUUAUCUAUAAAAUAUGCGAAUGUUUGGUUUUGUUUGAGACAACAUGUGCACCUUCUGAGUUAUAAAAUUUGGUUUGGUUGCUUCUAGGAAUAGCCUCUGAAUCUUUUUCUUUUUUUUUAAAUUUAUUUACCUUCCUUUUUUCUUACCUUGUUCUAUGUUGAUAUUCAUAAAAUAUACCUGAAGUAUACAGAAUAUACAUGACAUGUAGGCAUUCUAGUGUAUAUAAAAGGGACAUAUUUGGUAUAAUGAAUAAUACUUUGCAUAUUUUUGUGAUAAGGUUUUGGGGCCUGACUUCUUGCAGAUCUGGACCUGCUCUUUUAUUUGUUUCAUCCUUAAUAUUUACUGAAUUAUGUUUAUACUUAUGUAUACAAGAAAUAUGCAAAGUAUAUGCAGCCUAUAUACAUCUUGGUGUAUAUGGGAGAAGUAUACUUUGUAUACUACUAAAAUAGACUCCAUAAUUAUACUUGGCCCACCUUACAAAUGCUAUUUUGGGCUUGUUCUCUUCCUUGGUUGUUGUGAUAUUAAGAAUUGGGCCUGUUUUACACCCUUGCUGAUUCAGUGAUUAUUUGAGAUUAGGCUUUGUACCUUUAUGUGUUAGCUUACUUCGUUCUGAGCCUAUGUAUUUUUUACUGCUUGUUUAUACAUAAUCUAUGCAUAUAUGACUAUAUUACGUGCAUACCCUUUAAGUUUCAUUUAAAUUAGUGAUUGAGUCUAGGUGCUUUCUAACCGAGUUUUUUCCCCCCACCUCCCUCCUCUUUUGCAUGAUUCGACUUCAUCGAGCCGCUUGGGCCAUUCCUCGUGAAACCAGUCGGCCCAACAACUUUUCUUUUAAUCGAUUCCUGAGGAGAUAAAGGCAUAGAAGGCCCAACCAUGGGUGAAAAUGGCAAUUAGUGGGCUUAGAGUAUUAGGUCGGAUCUACUUCUCUGACUCGUGGCUGAUCGACUCUACAGCUUCCACUUGAGUUUUCCAGGGUGAGCAUGGUGUCCGCUAACCUCGAAGAUUCUUCUGUUACUUAUGUCUUGUUUUACAUUUAGAGACAUGAUUUGAGACUACUUAUGUAUUAUUAUUCAGACUUUUAGUAUUCGGAUUUAGAUGCUCUUGUAUGACCAGACCA
Molecule: long non-coding RNA, 2974 nt
Organism: Lycium barbarum (goji berry)
Lineage: Eukaryota; Viridiplantae; Streptophyta; Magnoliopsida; Solanales; Solanaceae
Exons: 2
Source: RefSeq, a predicted model, not a curated record